UGUAAACAUGGAUUUAACAAUUCUCACCAAGCAAGUGUUUCACUCAAUCACUCAAGUGUUUUAGGAGGUCACUAUAUUCUCUGUUGUUCACAUGUCACAUAAAACAAUAUUGGCAUUCAUCUAAAACAAUCAAAAUCUUCACAUGCAAAUGUCAUCACAAGGACUUUCUGGAAUACAAAAUCCUUGAGUUAAGAGAGUUUUAGAUUAUUCAGAGUUCAAGCAUACUCUCCUUUUAAACAAUCUCACUCAUUCCCAACUUCUUCCCUUUUUCCUUUUUACAUUGAGUUCACUUUACAUGCUUUUUCUCUUUUCUUCUUUCCUUUUUCUUUCUCAUGCAUUUUUCUUUUUCAUCUUUUGAACUCAAUGUUUUUUCUUUUGCCUUUUACUUUCCCCAUACAACCCCAAACUUCAACCUUUUCAUCACAUACAAUUAUUCUCAACCCAACUCAAGGUAAUUCA
Molecule: long non-coding RNA, 459 nt
Filed under: Vigna radiata
Lineage: Eukaryota; Viridiplantae; Streptophyta; Magnoliopsida; Fabales; Fabaceae
Description: long non-coding RNA (VRAD_LNC012549)
Source: RNAcentral